CAUGUAACAACGUUUAUAAUCAUUCUUACACGUGUAGUUACACCGGUAUAACCAGGCAGACAGGGCUCUGCAGCUGUGAAAACAACGGCAAUUUUUUAAAACAGGAGGAGGAUGUGGAUUUAGUCUCGGCGAUCGUUGUUCCAAGCACCGCAGGUGGACACAGCUUAGGGAAGGGAAACAAAGCGGACCUGCUGCGUUCAGGGGAGCGACACUCACCGCGCGGCUGUUGUUAACCCGCGCACAGCUGGCGAUUUGCUCUGAUAUAGUCAGGCGCGAUGUGUUGCGGGAAACCAGCCAGAUGUGCGUCGUUUAACGUAGACCGCGCGGCUGCUGCAGGGUUGCCAACUUCGUUCAGCUGGCUGGAGUGAGAUGUUCAAUUCGAGAGAAGUCUGCACACCCGUGCACAUACAUGCAUGUAACCGUUUUAUCACCUUAUAAAUAGUCUGUAGGGUUUGCAAACUACCCCAGCGCUUUUGAUGCAGCUAAGUUUAGGUCUAUAAUAGAAUACUAUAAAUUUAUCGCGUGAGAGUCUGAAAUCGUGCGUCAAGCCAGAUGUGUGAGUGUUGGCGACCCUGCUGCUGUCAUUCUUUGCACGACUCUUGGCUCUAUUACAGUCGAUCCAAGUGACAUCUCAGGCGCUGGGUUUUGUGGGAAAUCAAGGUGUGCAUCUCGUCACACAUGGGACUGCAUAGUGGGUCCUCACAAAGCUGAAGUGUUUUUGGAGACCCACUGUACUAGUGUAAGCUAGUAUGUCUUCUAAAUAUAUGCUGAGACUAAACAUGCAAUAAUUACCCAGACGAUAUUCAAGCACCAAGUGCAUUCAGCUAUGUCCUGCUCUUUCAAACAGGCCUAUUUUACCGAAUUAUAUGUCAUACUGUUUUUUUUAUUAUUACCGGCAGUGAUAAAUGUCAGAAAAUUAAUUCAUUGUAACGCUGUGUCUUUUAGUCUUUUUCACAAAUCUCAUUCUUUUUGCUUUACACAGAAUUUCCCAGCAUAAACUGAGCUUUUACAAAAUCUGUGAGAUGCUAUGAGUACUGUGCUCCAGUGACAUAUCAGUGGCUUGGUUUUGUGGUUGGGUUGACGUGACCCUCUUUUCCAAGUUCACCAAGGUUACAAACUGUACGUGGCAUUGAGUGAAAGUUAAGGGAGACGGAAAUUUGGAGGACGGUAAUUUGGAGCUAAGGUGAAAGAGUAUCAGACAUGAAUAUUACAGUUGUGAGGGGGGGGGUAUUUACUGUCCAGGUAUGUCCAGGAAUAUACUUGAAUACAAGUUCUCCUUAUGACACAUCUUUUUUUUAUAUCUGCCAAUGUUUUGGAAGGCAGACAUAGUUCUGUGUUUUUCACAGUGAAAGACUGCAAGAGAGAUUUCCUCCUGAAAUCCCCCCUGAUCAGUCCUCGACGUGCAUUAUGCAAGUGUUUCACCACACCACUGAGGAAACAUAUUAUUAGGCUUUUUAACAAAUCCAAAUGAAUAUAUCUUAAGUAUGCAUUUAACUAGAUCUUGUAUUUUGGUAGGUAAAUAUGAAAUAUAAAUGAACGUGUGAAUGAAUCAGACCACCCAAAACGCUAACCGACCUUAGAAAGACAAUUGUUUAAAUAUACGAAUUCCCAACAUUAUAGACUUCUACCAAUGAGUGAAAGCAGUGGUUAAAGCAAAGAUAUUGGUUUUUCCACCCAAAAAUGUGUGUCGAUAGGUUAAGAUGCUCUAUUGCUAUAAUACAAAAAAAAUCAAGACAUUCUUGUGGAAAUCUGUAUCAUUUUUGACAUGCAUAAAUGUUCUCAGGUACCUGGAAAAAUACACCCUGGACAGGAGGCCAGUCCAUUGCAUUACAGAAUUGCAGACAUGCAAUCUUAAUAUUGACAAUGCACGUAAUGCGCAUGAAAUUGCGACAUUGCAAGGACUGCAGUAGUCGGCUGGGUUGACAUUAGACUUGGGCGGUAUGUUAGUUGUCCACACGGUAUUUUGCUGGUAUUUUAAAACUAAAGCUAUUUGGGCAUUUAGAAAUUUUGGCGAUGGGGGAGGGGGGACUAUAAAAUUUUGAACACAACUCAUUUUUUUAGUUUUUAAUUUUGAAGAUGUCUUAUUUUUUCGUUUUUCGUUCAUUCAUUUAACAAUAUGAAAAACUGAAGCUUGGCAAUGAUUUAAAACAUUUUCUGGUUUGAACGGAACAAUGCAACACAUUUAACUUGAUAUUUACAAAAAGGUAGCGAUAAUUCGGUUUGCAAGUUUUCUACAAUGUGGUACAUUCAUAGUACAUGCAAAGUAUUAUUUUGUACAAAUAUUAGCAGCUGUAACAGGACCACAGCUAAGGGCAACUUCUUUAAGUCAGUUGUGCAGUUAAAAUAAAUGUAAUAUUGCCCCCAUAUGAUUGCUGAGUUGCCACUAAUUGCAAAUAAUGAGUCAUUAUUAAUUAAGAAUAUCUACCAGAAUAUCCAAGACAUGAUUGUGCACUGUGCACUGUUUGGUCUAGGACGUCUUUAUCUCUUAUUUGACCUUCUGAGGGAGCAUGCUAACGUGCUCACUCCUCCUUGCACGUUAAGUGCAACCUCUGCACUACUUUUAAAAAGGUGCAGUAUUGCUGCGGUUGUGAAUGUGCAAAUAAUGACACAUUUUUUUUCUCACAUCUCCUCCCAGGCCCCCACGAACAUGGAAAAAAGUCAUUCCCAUGCAUGGCAAGGAGACUGAAACCGUUUCAAUGCGUUGCUGUUGCACUUGUGGGCGUAGCAGGCCAAGAAGGUGGCUGACAGGACAGCAACAGGAUGGAGCAGAUUAUAAUAUCUGAGCAGACUUGCAGUAGUGAUCUGGAGACCUUUAUGUGUUCAGUCUGGGCUGUUAUCACAAGGACAGCGGUAGUAUAAAUAUGAGAAAUAACAGCUGUUUCCUGAAAAAAAAAAUUGCCACAUUUGUACUUGCUUGAAUUACAAAGGCAGGUGUGUUCCGAUUUGUGAUCAUCGCUCCUCAUGUUUUUUGC
This is a long non-coding RNA of Brienomyrus brachyistius, 2972 nucleotides long. RefSeq lists it as uncharacterized. Lineage: Eukaryota; Metazoa; Chordata; Actinopteri; Osteoglossiformes; Mormyridae. The transcript has 3 exons. The record is from RefSeq and is a predicted model, not a curated record.